Molecule: ribosomal RNA, 350 nt
Filed under: uncultured Bacillota bacterium
Lineage: Bacteria; Bacillati; Bacillota
Description: bacterial SSU rRNA
Rfam family: Bacterial small subunit ribosomal RNA
Source: RNAcentral
GAUGAACGCUGGCGGCGUGCUUAACACAUGCAAGUCGAACGGAGAUUAUAAGUGAGCGUAAGUAGCUUGCUAUGAACAAUCAGUUAUAAUCUUAGUGGCGGACGGGUGAGUAACGCGUGGAUAACCUGCCUUGUACCGGGGGAUAACACUUAGAAAUAGGUGCUAAUACCGCAUAAGCGCACAGGACCGCAUGGUCUAGUGUGAAAAACUCCGGUGGUACAAGAUGGAUCCGCGUCUGAUUAGCUAGUUGGCGGGGUAACGGCCCACCAAGGCAACGAUCAGUAGCCGGCUUGAGAGAGUGAACGGCCACAUUGGGACUGAGACACGGCCCAAACUCCUACGGGUGGCUG